This 492-nucleotide ribosomal RNA is filed under the name uncultured bacterium. Its description in RNAcentral is "partial 16S ribosomal RNA". It matches the Rfam family "Bacterial small subunit ribosomal RNA", at positions 29 to 507 of the family's 1533-position model. The record is from RNAcentral.
AGUGAACGCUGGCGGUAGGCCUAACACAUGCAAGUCGAACGGCAGCACAGUAAGAGCUUGCUCUUACGGGUGGCGAGUGGCGGACGGGUGAGGAAUACAUCGGAAUCUACUUUUUCGUGGGGGAUAACGUAGGGAAACUUACGCUAAUACCGCAUACGACCUACGGGUGAAAGCAGGGGAUCUUCGCACCUUGCGCGAUUGAAUGAGCCGAUGUCGGAUUAGCUAGUUGGCGGAGUAAAGGCCCACCAAGGCGACGAUCCGUAGCUGGUCUGAGAGGAUGAUCAGCCACACUGGAACUGAGACAAGGUCCAGAAUCCUAAGGGAGGCAGCAGUGGGGAAUAUUGGAGAAUGGGCGCAAGCCUGAACCAGCCAUACCGCGUGGGUGAAGAAGGCCUUCGGGUUGUAAAGCCCUUUUGUUGGGAAAGAAAAGCAGCAGGUUAAUACACCGAUGUUCUGACGGUACCCAAAGAAUAAGCACCGGCUAACUUCGUG